Molecule: long non-coding RNA, 280 nt
Organism: Megalobrama amblycephala (Wuchang bream)
Lineage: Eukaryota; Metazoa; Chordata; Actinopteri; Cypriniformes; Xenocyprididae
Exons: 3
Source: RefSeq, a predicted model, not a curated record
CGCUCAAGCACAAAACAGUCUUCCCGAGCACACAAGACGACGAAGAGAAACCAUCACUUGAUAUUGAUCCACAGCAACAUGGCGGUCGAACACAGCCAUGCACACAGAAAAUGGAAAAUAACCUGACUGAGAGUGAGAGACUAAGUCAGUCAUGGAUUUUCAUGGAAGGAGCAGAAAAAAGAAAAAGAAAAAAUGAUCGACUCAAAAGGAAACAACAUUCACAUCACAUUUCCCUUUCUGAUGUGAUGUAUUUGAAAACAGAAUAUUCAGUGUAAAAUCA